AAUUCUGUUGCUCUUGACUGUCUUAAUUUAAUCUGUGAAAGUCGGUCAUGAUUUGCCAGCAUAUAAGCCCUACUCAAUGCAGAUGCAGAUUCUAUAUGCAUCAUAUACAUACAUGUCUAAUCUAACAAGUGGUAACAGUCCUUUUGCCAGUUUCUUAAAAUGGUGACUACUUUAGGAACUCUCAUUUUUCCCCACAGCCCUCCCAUGUCCUACAAACUCCCACUACCGUAUAUGCGUUACUGCAUGUCCUGAGUCCUGUGCUAUUUUGUCUGAUAUCCCCUGCCUGUGGCCCUGUGUGGAGGGAUGCCAGUUUGAUUUUGGGUAUAUGCACAAAGUGGUAAUGGAAGUAUCAAAGCUGAGUAAUGUGACUGCUUCUACCAUGGGAAUUACUAUGAGCUGGGUGAGACAUCGUGGGCUGAGGGAUGCUCCGAGCAGUGUGACUGCUCUGCCCCUGCCACAAUGUGCUGCGAGCCUGCCUCUUGCCCUAAGGGAGCAAACUGCACCCUUAACGAUACCCGGGGCUGUGCAGGCAAAGAUGAAGAGCAUAAACUUGUCAAGAAUUGAGAGCUCUGUGGUGUGCAAAGCCAACCUCUGCAAACCCAGUGUUGUGUGCUGGGAGGUUCAUACUUCUACACACCUUUGAUGGAGAGAUAUUUGAAUUCCAAGGAAACUGUGCCGACACUCUGGUCCAUAUAUGGAAUAAUAACAGUGUGAAUGAUCCAUCUUGGGUCAGGUUACAAAACAACAGAACCCAGAACCAAGCCUCCUCUCUUAAAGCUAUUCAUGUAAAAGUGACCAACAACCAUAUUGGUACAGAGGGGAGAAGGGCUAAGCUUGGAUAAAUUGUCAAAAAGGCUUUUUCCUGUGACUCUACAGUUUGGGCGGCUGAGGAUUCAUCAGAGUGGUGUGUUUAUUGUUGUGGAUACUUGUUUGGGCAUCCAAGUAUGACUGUCUCCAUUACGCCACUGUCCUCCUAUCUAAUAAAACUGAAGUGCAUGGUAUGUGUGGGAACAACAAUGGCAUCAAGGAAGAUGACCUCAGGACCCCACAGGGUGGAGCUGUUAAUGCUACCGCCUUUGGCUGGAGCUGGGAGAGUUCCUGAUGGAGAAGCCGGUUGCACAGCCAACUGUGGAGGGGCCUGUCAGAGCUGCUCUGCCAAUCAACUACAAGACAACAAUGUUGCCAGCCACUGGAUCUCCUUGUGUGAUUACUUGACAUUACAACAAAGCCCUCUCUAUCUGUGCCAUGAAGUGGUACAAGUCUGCUUAGUGGUCAACAUCUUUGACCAGUUCCGACAUUCAGAAGACCUUCUGCUUGGGUUUAGAGGCUUAUGCUGCUACCUGCCAAAAUGCCCAGAUACAGAUUUGAGAGCCGAGGAACAGUACAUUCGGCCGUAAGCAAAUGCGAUGUGUGUAACUGUACGGGGAAAAUAAUCCUGGAAUUAGUU
Molecule: long non-coding RNA, 1447 nt
Organism: Myripristis murdjan (pinecone soldierfish)
Lineage: Eukaryota; Metazoa; Chordata; Actinopteri; Holocentriformes; Holocentridae
Exons: 4
Source: RefSeq, a predicted model, not a curated record